This 244-nucleotide ribosomal RNA is filed under the name Silene dichotoma. The record is from RNAcentral. Lineage: Eukaryota; Viridiplantae; Streptophyta; Magnoliopsida; Caryophyllales; Caryophyllaceae.
UCGAAACCUGCCCAGCAGAGCGACCCGUGAACACGUUCAACAUCRUGGGUGUUGGGGCGUUGCUCGGUGCCUUGUGUGCCGGCACGCCCCUAUCCCAAGCSGGGGGAGCGCCCACUUGUGGNNUGUUUCCCCGGCWAAACAACGAACCCCGGCGCGUAAUGCGUCAAGGAAUACAAACUUUAUGUGUGUACUCUCCCGUUGCCCGGUUAGCCGGGNNNGGGUGCGGUGCCAUGUCUUAACAAUA